Molecule: long non-coding RNA, 3890 nt
Organism: Cuculus canorus (common cuckoo)
Lineage: Eukaryota; Metazoa; Chordata; Aves; Cuculiformes; Cuculidae
Exons: 3
Source: RefSeq, a predicted model, not a curated record
ACGCGCCCCGCAGCCCCCACCGCCUCACGGUCUCCAUCGGCCGCCCCGCCUCGCCUGGGGCUCCCUCCCCGUUCUCCUCCUCGUGUUGUGUCCCUUCCCUCUGCCCCGACACCCGCCGGGGCCCGGCUGGGAAGCGUUUGGGCUGUUGAGGGCGUAUGGAGGCACAAAAUGGCGGCGCGAUAACGCCCGGGCUAGUUCCGCCUUCCUCACCCCGAGAGGGAAGAGGGCGUUGGGGCCUUCACGGGUGGAAUGAGUGGGAGAGGAAGGGUGGGGCGGGGAAGGUGCCAGCUCUUGGACUCGGAGGCCUGGCGGGGGUGGCAGGAGUGUUACUGGGGCAGUGGGGCCUGGCAGGGUGUGUAGGGUUGCUUGGAAUGGUUUGAGUGGGAAGGGACCUCAAAGCCCAUCUGACCCUGGAUACCUCCCACUGGCUCAGGGGCUCCAAGCCCCAUCCAAUCUGGCCUUGAACACCCCGAGGGAUGGAGCAGCCACCACUGCUCUGGGCAACCUGGGUCAGGGCCUCCCCACCCUCACAGGAAACCAUUUCUUCCUAAGAUCUUAUCUAAAUCAUCUCUCUCAGCUUAAAACCGUUCUCCCUCAUCCUGUCCAUGCACUGCCUGGUAAAGAAGCCUUUCUCCCAGCUUUCUUGUAGGCCCCCUUGAAGUACUGGAAGGCUGCUAUGAGGUAUCCUCAGAACCUUUUCCAGGCUGAACGAUACCAGCCCUCAGAUCAUUUUCGUGGCCUCCUCAUUUCACACUGCAACAGCUCCAUGUCCUUCUUGUGCUGAGGGCUCCAGAGCUGGAUGCAGGACUCCAGGUAAGGUCUCACAAAAGCCAAGCAGAGCAGUAGAGUCACCUCCCUUACCCCGCUAGCCACUCUGCUUUGGAUACAGCCCAGGCUGUUGUUGGUCUUUGGGCUGCAGGUGCACAGUGCUGGCUCAUAUACAGCUUUUUGUCCACCAGUACCCCCAAGUCCUUCUCUGCAGAGUUGUUCCAAAUCCUUUCUUCCUCCUGCCUGUAAGCUUGCCCGAACAAGCCCCUUGUACUUGGCCUCAUUGAGUCUCAUGAGGUACACGCGGGCCCUCUUCUCCAGCUUGUCUAAGUCCCUCUGGCUGACAUCCCAGCCUUCUGGUGUGUUAACUGCACCACUCAGCUUGGUGUUAUUUGCAGAUUUGUUUUGGGUGCACUGGCUGAUGCUUGGGGAAUGCAGGGUGACAAUGGCUUCUGCGUGUGAUGGGCACAUGGAACCUUCAUUACAAGUAAGGUUUGGAAGGUUUUGUCUAGCAAACCUUAUUGAAUUAAUGGCUGCUAGUUCAGGUUUUUGGUGGCAUUGCGUGGUGAAAGUACUAUCUCCUUUCUGAGCAACUUCCAUGUUGCAUCAAGUCACGCAGAAACAGAAAUAAUGGUGCCCUUAUCUCUAAGCUCCUGAGGCAUGAGAGCAGCAGCUGGGAUCCCAGUUCUGGCUCUAAGGACGAUGAUUGGCAGCCACUAAACAUCAGGGCCAAGGUCAGCUCUAACAGCCUGCAGACAUCCUGUAGAGAUAUGUGAUCCAAACACACACAAUACUUUAAUGAACACAACAGAGCUUUUGUGCAUAUAAGCAAAUGUAUAUCAAUACUAUAAAAAUUAGAAGGAGAUGUAUUUCGAUUUGAUCAAUGUACAGUGCUACGCAGCUAUGUUGAUUUGCUUCAUGUAUGUUGGCUCAGAGUAAGAAAAGAACACAGGAAAAGAAAUGGUGUUUAACUUGAAAAGGGUGGGACGCAAAAAUGAGGAAGUGUUUUUUCAAAGAGGAAAUCAAAAGGAGUUGCUUGCAGACUAAACAUGCACAGGCGAGACAGAGAAUGAGGUUUUGUUUUAGUCUUUUCAAUUCUUUAAAACGUCAGCAAAGUUAAACAGCACAGGAAUAGACACCACUAAGUUAUGUUCAAACAAAAAAAAUCAAACCAAGCUGUGUUGGGCUAAAGGUAGAAGGCAGGAACAAGAAAAAAAAUGGACAAUUUGCUCAUUUCACAGCCUUUCUGGAAGCCUUGUUCAGACUUGGCAGAAGCAGGAAGCCUCCAGGGUUGGUACAUAUAGGCCAUUACAAGGAGUGUUUUGGAAAAACAGUCUUUAACAAGCAAUAUUAAACCAGUAACUCUUGCUGAAAGAGACUGGGGAGGAUCCCCUAUGAGAAAUUUGCAGAGGGUGGUGUUGAGGAAGCUGAUCGAAUUGAAGUGCUACUAAAACCCCACAUUAAUAACGGGGAAAAAAUGAUUGAGAUAGUAUUCCAGAUUCCUGAGGAGGAACAGCUGUGGCCGUUCAUAAACAAAGAUAGCUUAACUGAGGUGCUAUUUUUGAGGAAGAGAUCACAGAAACAUCUGGUACUCUUCUCUGAAAACCUUGCUCUGUUCUUAGCAACACAGAAAAAAAUAAAGAAAAUAAUCAUGCAGAAAUAAUAAUAAUAAUACUCAACAGAUCAAAAAGAUCUUUUUGCCUUCACUAAAGGGCCCAGAUCUUAUGUGCGUUUCUUGCCAAUUAAGAGAAAAUGGUAAUUGGAAUUGCUUUUAAAGGAGAAAGCAGUAGAUAGACUGCAGCUUUGGUUUACAAAGGAGGUGACUUUAGAAGGUACUAAUGUCCACAAAGGGAUUAAAUAAACUAUUACUCACCAUUUCUAAUAACUCAUGUUUUAUGCCUCUUGUUCUUACCAGGAAAUGUGUUGAAAAUGAAAGGAAAUGUUUUUCAGGUAGUAAAUAAUUAAACUGGGAAACACAUUUUCAUGGGAUCUUAGAAGCCAAGAGUAUAAAUAAAUAGAACUGAAAUGGGAAGAAAUGGCCAUCGAAUGCAGUUAUGUUAUUUUUGUUUCUGAAAAGCCUUUAAGCAGGGACUGCUAAAAGGUGAGAGAUUGUAAAGGGAGAGCGCUGUUACCACACUUCUCCUUCCUUAUGUUGUUUUCAUUUGCAUUGGCCACUGCUUAUGGCAGGUGGCCUGGCAGUGUGGCUGCUUGUAUUUAUGCUUUGAGCUUCCCCUUUUCUUUUGUGUGCUUAAAGCCUCAGGUAGAAUGUCCUGAGUUGGAAGGGACCCACAAGAUUCAUCGAGUCCAGCUCCUGGCCCUGCACAGGACAACCGCAGUGUUCACACUGUAUGUCUGAGGGUGUUGUCGGAAUGCUUCUGCAAUAUUGUCAGGCUUGGUGCCGUGACUGCUUCCCUGAGGAGCCUAUCAGCAGGGCAGAUAAGCAACAUGGUACUUCAGAUACGUUAGAGCACCCAGGCAACGAGGAACAGCCUGAAAGCAUUGCUCCAAGAAAGCAUUCAAGGAGCUGCUGAUACAAAAGUGGUUUUCCAGGCACUGCUCGUUCUCUGAAGAUGAUAACAUCUUGUGUUGAUAUGAUCUAUGCUGAACAGAUGUGUCGUCUUCUGUAAUCACCUCUGUUUGCAGUCUCUCCCUGUCUCAAAUGCAAGGUCAGGCAGAGCUGGAGCCAGCUUCGAAUUACCAAGAGUUUUGACUGUUGUGAAGUUUAUAAUAACAUUAAAAUGAGUCCUUGGAAAGUAAUAGAAUAUGCGUAAGAUUUCUGGGAGAAUUUAGACACAUGCAUGUAAGUGGGAAAUACAUUCUAUCCCAGGUCUUGUCUCAUUGCACAUAAUAGAUGGAGAUUGCUCCCUUGUGUUGCCAAGGCCUGAUAAAGGAUGGUUGCUUUCUAGAACUCGAAAAUGAGUCUUAGAGAGCUUAUUUGCCGGCAUUUUCAGUAUCACUGCCUGCUAUCGUGCCUGUGCCCAGCCUGCUAGCACCAUGACAGUGAGUCCCUCUGACUCUUGCAGAUGCCAGGCCACCUCGUGCCUGAGCUCGCCAUUAAUUCGAUAUCCUUUUGUGGCUACAACACAUGAUUGCAGCCCUGUGGAGAAGGACUUGGGCGUGCU